Molecule: long non-coding RNA, 1906 nt
Organism: Gigantopelta aegis
Lineage: Eukaryota; Metazoa; Mollusca; Gastropoda; Neomphalida; Peltospiridae
Exons: 2
Source: RefSeq, a predicted model, not a curated record
UUAGCAGCCGGAUAGCCAUCUUUAUACAGUAUCCGAUAGGAACACCUGGCACAGUGGCAAGCCCAAACCAGGUGGAAUUUGAAUCUGAAUCUGAAAAAAACAACAACAAUAUAUUGAGGGCUGACAAGUAGAACUGGCCCUGGAGGAUAAAGGAUUCGUAAAGCGGGGAGCACCGCGCCACCGGCAAUCCGGCGAUCCCCGUCUGGUUCACUUACUUGACGAUGGGUACUUUAUAGCAUUGCUGAAGUAGAUGACGUCACCAGAGAACGCUUGACAGUAGUAAUCAACGGGACCUCUUGCAAGUGUUGUGAAGACCUUGUAUUUCUUUGAACGCGAGUCGAUGCUAUUGGUUCCUGCUCCACAGCGACCUGUGGCCCCGUGCAUCACGCUAGAGCAAUUUGACUUCAUCUGAGUGAAAUUGCCAAGAGCGUGAGAGCUGUUCCCGGCUGACUGGAUUAUCAACACCUUGCCGGUAAAACCCUGGGCAUCGGUGAUUUUGCACGUUAGCUUUACUUCAUGUUCUCCUGUGGAAUAUUUAAGAUUCAGGGACACACCUACAAGGAAAGGAACUAAACAGUUUAUUGUUUUUAAUUACAAAAUGUGAAAAAACCCCUAGAAAAACUAAACAAUUAUCGACUUUUGGACGUGAAACAUUAGAUAUUUUCGAAACAAUCGUGAAAUACUAAUUGAAACGGGAAAGAAGAGUUUAAUGUAACAGGCGCUCUACGGUUCUAUUCCUACGAGAAAGAAGGAACAUACUUCUGACGUCCAGAAAAAAAGCAUGACUCGAAUGUAAUGAGCCGGCGUAUCUGUCUAGGUAUCCGAGGACAAAGUAAUGCAGGAACCACUUGGUGAACCAUAGGGAUAGGUUCUUAAAGACGGUUUGAGCUUGGCGUAAAAUGAUCUCAUAGAUUUAUUACUUGACUGACGAAAUACAAGUUUAAUAAAAUUAACAAACGAAGACAAUAAUGACUUAUAUGCACUGGUAAGGAAAACUGCUGAGAACAUCAAAGCUUUCCAAAAAUAAGAUCGUGUAUCCAUUUUGUACUUUCAGUUUCUAUCUCUCUCCUACGUUUAAGUAGUCUAUGUUUAAACCAUUGUGUCACUUGCUUUUGUCAAUACAGGCGCAUUACCAACAUAAGAGGUGGUCUGUCGCCCAUUCAGCCACUCUUUCCCUCACUAUGACCUAAGCAUAAUGCAGAGCCUAUGCAAUAGCAACAUGGACCGGGAAAUGGAAAACUUGGUACAUUUUCAAAUACACUAAUCCGGAAUAUCUUUUAAAAAAUCACCAAAUAAUGCGGUGGGGGGGGGGGGGGGGGGGGGGGGGGGGGGGGGAGUGGGGACCGAGUUGGGUUCGAGGAGAGGUUGUAGUGGGACACGGAUUAGCUCGAUGAUAAAGUGCUGUCCUGUCGUGUGGCGGGUGUGGGGAGAGUGGGGGGAGUGGGGGCCGAGUUGGGUUCGAGGAGAGGUUGUAGUGGGACACGGAUUAGCUCGAUUAUAGAAUGCUGUCCUGUCGUGUGGCGGGCGAGGUGGGGAGGGCAGUGUUGAUCAUUAUCCACCAUUAAAGGAACUUGUUUCUAGCACAAUGUGUCCACCGACGGAAAUCGAUCCCAGACCGUGUUUUCAAGAGGAAUGCCUUGUGUGAUGGUAGCGGGUUUCUCACGUCUCUCACUGUUUCUGUCUAUCUCUCCCCCCACCCCCACCCCCUCCUCUCUCUCCCCCACACCUCCUCUCUCUCCCCCACCCCUCCUCUCUCUCCCCCACCCCCCUCUCUCUCUCUCUCUCUCUCUCUCUCUCUCUCUCUCUCUCUCUCUCUCUCUCUCCCCCUAUGUCUUUAUUUCUCCAUUGUGAAGUUAAUAUCUAUAUGUAAUGUAUCUUAAAAUAGAAUAUUAAACAUGAUCGUUAG